GAUGAAGAACGCAGCGAAAUGCGAUAAGUAAUGUGAAUUGCAGAAUUCAGUGAAUCAUCGAAUCUUUGAACGCACAUUGCGCCCGCCAGUAUUCUGGCGGGCAAGCCUGUUCGAGCGUCAUUUCAACCAUCAAGCCCUGCUUGCGUUGGGGUCCUGCGGCUGCCCGCAGGCCCUGAAAACCAGUGGCGGGCUCGCUAGUCACACCGAGCGCAGUAAUACAUCUCGCUUUGGGCGUGCGGCGGGUUCUUGCCGUUAAACACCCCCUUUUUACCAAGGUUGACCUCGGAUCAGGUAGGAAUACCCGCUGAACUUAAGCAUAUCAAUAAGCGGAGGA
This 334-nucleotide unclassified non-coding RNA is filed under the name soil metagenome. RNAcentral describes it as "partial contains 5.8S ribosomal RNA, internal transcribed spacer 2, and large subunit ribosomal RNA". The stretch from base 1 to 120 matches the Rfam family "5.8S ribosomal RNA", at positions 35 to 154 of the family's 154-position model. The record is from RNAcentral.